UCUAAAGUGGCAGAUUAAUGCACUAGAUUUAAGCUCUAGUUAUAGGACCCUUCCUCUUUAGCA
This 63-nucleotide transfer RNA is filed under the name Phascolosoma pacificum. Its description in RNAcentral is "tRNA-Leu". The record is from RNAcentral. Lineage: Eukaryota; Metazoa; Annelida; Sipuncula; Phascolosomatiformes; Phascolosomatidae.